This 2948-nucleotide ribosomal RNA is filed under the name Brockia lithotrophica. RNAcentral's name for it is "23S ribosomal RNA". It matches the Rfam family "Bacterial large subunit ribosomal RNA". The record is from RNAcentral. Lineage: Bacteria; Bacillati; Bacillota; Bacilli; Thermicanales; Thermicanaceae.
GAGCAAGGUAGGGAAGGCGCACGGUGGAUGCCUAGGCACCGGGAGGCGAAGAAGGGCGCGGCAAGCGGCGAAACGCCCCGGGGAGCCGCAAGCGGGCGUAGAUCCGGGGGUGCCCGAAUGGGGGAACCUGCCACCUGGAAGAGGUGGCAUCCGGCUGGGAGCCGGAGGCGAACCGGGGGAAGUGAAACAUCUCAGUACCCCGAGGAAGAGAAAGCAAGAGCGAUUCCCCGAGUAGCGGCGAGCGAAAGGGAGGAGCCUAAACCGCACGGUGUGAAAGGCCCGAAGCCGUUGCUCGUGCGGGGUAGAGGGGAAGUCUGGGCGGGGCUUCGGGACCCGCCGGGGAGUAAGAAACCGUGGAUCUAGCCGAACGGUCUGGGAAGGCCGGCCGUAGAGGGUGAUAGCCCCGUAGGCGAAAGGUUCACGGCUCUCUGGGACUUCACCCCGAGUACCACGGGACACGGGGAAUCCUGUGGGAAUCCGGGAGGACCACCUCCUAAGGCUAAACACUACCCGGUGACCGAUAGCGCAUAGUACCGAGAGGGAAAGGUGAAAAGCACCCCUGGCGGGGAGUGAAAGAGGACCUGAAACCGUGUGCCUACAAGCAGUCGGAGGGUCGUAGGGACCUGACGGCGUACCUUUUGCAGAAUGUGCCGGCGAGUUACGGUAGCGUGCGAGGUUAAGGCGGGGAGCCGGAGCCGGAGCGAAAGCGAGUCCGAAGAGGGCGAGAGUACGCUGCCGUAGACCCGAAGCCGGGUGAUCUACCCAUGGCCAGGGUGAAGGUGGGGUAAGACCCACUGGAGGCCCGAACCCGUCAGUGUUGCAAAACUGUGGGAUGAGCUGUGGGUAGGAGUGAAAAGCUAAACGAACCCGGUGAUAGCUGGUUCUCCCCGAAAUGGCUUUAGGGCCAGCCUUACCCGGGAGGGUGAGGGAGGUAGAGCACUGAUGAGGAGAGGGGCCCGCGAGGGCUACCGAUUCUCGUCAAACUGCGAAUGCCCUCACCUGGUGGGUAGGAGUUAGACUGCGGGGGAUAAGCUCCGUGGUCGAGAGGGGAAUAGCCCAGACCGACCGCUAAGGUCCCGAAGGGCGCGCUAAGUGGGGAACGCUGUGGUGGGACGGAGACAGCCGGGACGUUGGCUUAGAAGCAGCCAUCGUUUAAAGAGUGCGUAACAGCUCACCGGUCGAGUCCUGCUGCGCGGAAAAUGUAACGGGGCUGAAGCGCGCCACCGAAGCGUCGGGCACGCUGUGGGCGUGCGGUAGGGGAGCGUACCCUGUUCGGGGAAGCGGACCUGGGAGGGUUCGUGGAGGGCAGGGUAGUGAGACUGCCGGCGUGAGUAGCGGUAAGACAGGUGAGAAUCCUGUCCGCCGGAAGCCCGAGGUUUCCUGGGGAAGGUUCGUCCGCCCAGGGUAAGCCGGGACCUAAGGCGAGGCCGGAAGGCGUAGCCGAUGGGAAACGGGUGGAGAGUCCCGUGCCACCCCAAGUGCGUAGGCGCAGGGGGGACGCAGGAGGCGGAGGGGAGCGCGCGGAUGGAGGCGCGUCCAAGCGGCGAGGCUGAGCGGGGAGGGAAAUCCCCCUGCUCGGUAAGGCUGAGCCGUGAUGGGGAGGGAAGGCGAGUACCGAACUCCCUAGCCGUCAUACUGCCGAGAAAAGCCUCGGCGCAAGUGCUUGGGGUGCCCGUACCGGAAACCGACACAGGUGGGCGAGGAGAGGAUCCACAGGCGCGCGAGAGAACCCCUGCUAAGGAACUCGGCAAAAAGGCCCCGUAACUUCGGGAGAAGGGGUGCUCGCACUGGGGUGCGAGCCGCAGAGAAGUGGCCCAGGCGACUGUUUAGCAAAAACACAGGUCUCUGCGAAGCCGAAAGGCGACGUAUAGGGGCUGACGCCUGCCCGGUGCCGGAAGGUUAAGGGGAGGGGUUAGCCGGAAGGCGAAGCUUCGAACCGAAGCCCCGGUAAACGGCGGCCGUAACUAUAACGGUCCUAAGGUAGCGAAAUUCCUUGUCGGGUAAGUUCCGACCCGCACGAAAGGCGUAACGACCUGGGCGCUGUCUUGGCAGGGGGCUCGGCGAAAUCGUAAGACCUGUGAAGAUGCAGGUUACCCGCGACGGGACGGAAAGACCCCGUGGAGCUUUACUGCAACCUGACGUGGUUUUUUGGCGGGUGCUGUACAGGAUAGGUGGGAGCCUGGGAAGUGGGCUCGCCAGGGCCCAUGGAGGCGGCGGUGGGAUACCACCCUGCACUUGCUGAAGGACUCACCGGGCUCUGUGGAGGAGCCGGGACAACGUCAGGCGGGCAGUUUGACUGGGGCGGUCGCCUCCUAAAGGGUAACGGAGGCGCCCGAAGGUCACCUCAGCGCGGAUGGACAUCGCGCGGCGAGUGCAAGGGCAGAAGGUGGCUUGACUGCGAGAGCGACGGCUCGAGCAGGGGCGAAAGCCGGGCCUAGUGAUCCGGUGGUGCUGAGUGGGAGGGCCACCGCUCAACGGAUAAAAGCUACCCCGGGGAUAACAGGCUGAUCUCCCCCGAGAGUCCACAUCGGCGGGGAGGAUUGGCACCUCGAUGUCGGCUCAUCGCAACCUGGGGCUGAAGUCGGUCCCAAGGGUUGGGCUGUUCGCCCAUGAAAGCGGUACGUGAGCUGGGUUCAGAACGUCGUGAGACAGUUCGGUCCCUAUCUGUCGCGGGCGCAGGACACUUGAGGGGGAAGGCUCCUAGUACGAGAGGACCGGAGCGUUCGUGCCACUGGUGCACCGGUUGUUCCGCCCGGGGCACGGCCGGGUAGCCAAGCACGGAGGGAUAAGCGCUGAAGGCAUCUAAGCGCGAAGCCCGCCCCGAGAUGAGGUGUCCCACCGGGAGAACCGGGUAAGGCCCCUUGGAGACGACGAGGUAGAUCGGCCCGAGGUGGAAGCGCGGCGACGCGCGGAGCUGACGGGUACGAAUCGGCCGAGGCCUUGCGAGC